Gasterosteus aculeatus aculeatus (three-spined stickleback) is the source of this 118-nucleotide ribosomal RNA. The record is from Ensembl. Lineage: Eukaryota; Metazoa; Chordata; Actinopteri; Perciformes; Gasterosteidae.
CUUUCGGGCAAAACUCUCUGACUCCAACUGGUCUCGUCUGAUCUCAGAAGCUAAGCAGAGUCAGGGCGGGGUAAUACUUUGAUGGAAGACCGCCUGGGGGGGCGGGGGGGGGGUAAGU